UCCCAGCUGGGAUAGUACAGUCGGUAGAGCUGGAGACUCCUAAUCUCAGGACCGUGGGUUUGAGCCCCAUGUUGGGUGAA
Podarcis lilfordi (Lilford's wall lizard) is the source of this 80-nucleotide non-coding RNA. Lineage: Eukaryota; Metazoa; Chordata; Lepidosauria; Squamata; Lacertidae. The record is from the annotation of a GenBank genome assembly.